AUGGCGGAAGAGGGGAACAGCUCGGGCGGGCGCGGCGUCCGGGUGUGCGUCACCGGUGGCGCCGGGUUCAUCGGCUCAUGGCUCGUCAGAAAGCUGCUCGAGGCAGGGUACACCGUCCACGCCACCCUGCGGAGCAUCAGGGACGAGGGGAAAGCGGGGCUGCUGCGGCGGCUCGUCCCCGGCGCCGCGCCGCCGGAGCGGCUGGUGCUGUUCGAGGCCGACCUCUACGACGCCGCCAGCUUCGCGCCGGCCAUCGCCGGCUGCCAGUUCGUCUUCCUCGUCGCCACCCUCUUCGCGCACGAGGCCGCCGCAUCCAAGUACAAGACGUCGGCGGAAGCCGCCGUGGACGCGGUGCGCGUCAUCCUCCGGCUAUGCGCGGAAUCUAAGACGGUGAAGCGCGUCAUCCACACUGCAUCGGUGUCGGCCGCUUCGCCGCUGACAAAGUCCUCCACCGCCGCCUCUGCGGUGUACAGGGAUUUCAUCUCUGAAUCUUGUUGGACUGCUCUGGACGUCGAUUACCCUCUCCGUAACACGCACUUCGAUAAGUACAUAGAGUCAAAGGUCCUGUCAGAGAAGGAGCUCCUCAGGUACAACGAUGGCGAGAGCCCGGCGUUUGAGGUGGUCACAAUUCCCUUGGGCCUCGUCGCGGGGGACACAAUCCUCAGCCGCCUCCCGGAAACAAUUCAGAGUGCGGUGGCACCGGUGACCAAGCAAGAGCCCUACUUCAUGCUACCGAGGAUUGCACAGAGGCUGUUGGGCUCAGUGUCACUAGUGCACGUCGACGAUGCCUGCGCCGCGCUUGUCUUCUGCAUGGAGCAGCCAUCCAUCGCUGGCCGGUUCCUCUGCUCCGCCGCCUACCCGACAAUCCAUGACAUCCUGGACCACUACGGCAGCAAGUACCCCCAUCUAGAUCUCCUCAGAGAGGCUGAUGAGGUAGCGAGGGUGCAACCUGAGAGCAACAAGCUUGGGGAGCUGGGCUUCAGGUACAAGUAUGGGGUGGAGGAGAUUCUAGACGAAAGCAUCGAGUGUGCUGUGAGGCUGGGCUCCCUGGAUACAUCCAAGCUUAUCGUGCAGCAGGAGUGA
RNAcentral lists this ribosomal RNA (1083 nucleotides) under Triticum aestivum (bread wheat). RNAcentral describes it as "partial small subunit ribosomal RNA". Lineage: Eukaryota; Viridiplantae; Streptophyta; Magnoliopsida; Poales; Poaceae. The record is from RNAcentral.